Molecule: ribosomal RNA, 180 nt
Filed under: uncultured Glomeromycotina
Lineage: Eukaryota; Fungi; Glomeromycota
Description: partial small subunit ribosomal RNA
Rfam family: Eukaryotic small subunit ribosomal RNA (bases 92-180)
Source: RNAcentral
AACCUGGUUGGGUGGUCUGCCUUCACGGUACGUACUGCUUGGCCGGGUUCUACCUCUUGGUGAGCCGGCAUGCCCUUCACUGGGUGUGUCGGGGAACCAGGACUUUUACUUUGAAAAAAUUAGAGUGUUCAAAGCAGGCGCACGCUUGUAUACAUUAGCAUGGAAUAAUAGAAUAGGACU